CGUUCUCAUCUCUCCUUCUCUUUUGUCAUGUCUGAAAUUCGAAGAUUUCAGAGAUAUCAAAUCCCAAAUCAAGCCAACCUUUUUAUUUUUCUCCUUAGGGUUUGAGGUUUACAUACAAAAGUUGUUUUAGGGUUCAGUCUCUCUUAUGUAGUCUCCAAAACUCUCAAGAGCAGCAGCACAACGAAGAAGAAAAGCCCUAAACUUCUUAUUUCCUUGGUUUUUUAUUUGAGAGAUCGUGAAGAGGAUUGACGUUUUCCUCGUCAAAGAGUUUGGAAAUGGAAAUCAAAUGGUUCAAUUGAGUAAAGAACCUAACAAUCUCUGCAGCGUUAACACCUUCAAACACUCUGGGUGAGAUACUGCAAAGAGUAUUUCAGUUCAAGCUGGAAAAAAUUCAGGUAUUGUUCUGGCUACUAUCAAGACUAAAAAACAGAAGUACCCUUCAGCUUUGGUGCACAAAACUGUCAUGAAGCUAGGAAACAUACCUUGUCUUCUCGUAUCACUGAAAUUCAGGUAAAACUUUCUGAGAGAGUAUUAGAGCUUCUUGUGUUUCCCGGCGAUGAUGUUCUGCUACUGCUCCUUGAUAUUGG
Long non-coding RNA from Papaver somniferum (opium poppy), 587 nucleotides. RefSeq lists it as uncharacterized. Lineage: Eukaryota; Viridiplantae; Streptophyta; Magnoliopsida; Ranunculales; Papaveraceae. The record is from RefSeq and is a predicted model, not a curated record. The transcript has 4 exons.